Molecule: long non-coding RNA, 270 nt
Filed under: Bos taurus (domestic cattle)
Lineage: Eukaryota; Metazoa; Chordata; Mammalia; Artiodactyla; Bovidae
Description: long non-coding RNA NONBTAT023941
Source: RNAcentral
UUCAUGGUGCUUGUUCCUGGUUUUAAUAGAUACUUUUUUAUAGCAGAAGAGUCAGACUGAACAGAUCACAGGUGUGAUCUCUGCCACUGUCAGACUGUUGAUGAGGCUUGGUGAAGGGAAAAUGUUCCAAAGCAUGAGCAACACUGUAGUUUUGUUCUUGUUGACUAGGAAGAAGUAAGGUAAAACAGCUCACAGAUACCUGUUCACAACUUUGUUCCCUAAGGGGGUUAACUGAACUAGGCAGCUCCUGCUGGUCCAGGGUUACAGAUG